Molecule: transfer RNA, 66 nt
Filed under: Oreochromis niloticus (Nile tilapia)
Lineage: Eukaryota; Metazoa; Chordata; Actinopteri; Cichliformes; Cichlidae
Also listed under: 1 other name
Rfam family: tRNA
About the family: Transfer RNA (tRNA) molecules are approximately 80 nucleotides in length.
Source: Rfam by way of RNAcentral
AGCUCCAUAGCGUAGUGAUUUACGCAUUUGCUUAUCAAGCAAAGGUCACUGGUUCAGCUGGAGCUG